AGUGAACGCUGGCGGUAGGCCUAACACAUGCAAGUCGAACGGCAGCACAGUAAGAGCUUGCUCUUACGGGUGGCGAGUGGCGGACGGGUGAGGAAUACAUCGGAAUCUACUUUUUCGUGGGGGAUAACGUAGGGAAACUUACGCUAAUACCGCAUACGACCUACGGGUGAAAGCAGGGGAUCUUCGGACCUUGCGCGAUUGAAUGAGCCGAUGUCGGAUUAGCUAGUUGGCGGGGUAAAGGCCCACCAAGGCGACGAUCCGUAGCUGGUCUGAGAGGAUGAUGAGCCACAGUGGAACUGAGAGUCGGUCGAGAGUCCUACGGGCAGAGCAAGUGCGGGAGAUUGGAGAAUGCGUGCAGGCCUUGACCAGCUGUACCGCGUAGGUGAAGAAGGCCUUCGGAUUGCAAAGCCCUUUUGUGGUGAAAGAAAAGCAGCCGGUUAAUACCCCGCUGCUCGGACGGUAGCCAAAGAAUAAGCACCGGCUACCUUCGAG
RNAcentral lists this ribosomal RNA (492 nucleotides) under uncultured bacterium. RNAcentral's name for it is "partial 16S ribosomal RNA". It matches the Rfam family "Bacterial small subunit ribosomal RNA", at positions 29 to 507 of the family's 1533-position model. The record is from RNAcentral.